CAACUUAUAUCAAAUGGAAAUAAGGACGGCAUUGAACCACGUAUUGAUCUUAAGGGAUACAUACUUGGAAAUCC
Coffea arabica (coffee) is the source of this 74-nucleotide non-coding RNA. NCBI's taxonomy places the organism in Eukaryota, Viridiplantae, Streptophyta, Magnoliopsida, Gentianales, Rubiaceae. The record is from RefSeq and is a predicted model, not a curated record.